Molecule: long non-coding RNA, 554 nt
Filed under: Fukomys damarensis (Damara mole-rat)
Lineage: Eukaryota; Metazoa; Chordata; Mammalia; Rodentia; Bathyergidae
Description: lncRNA (ENSFDAG00000023628.1)
Source: RNAcentral
GACGGGAAUGGUCGUGUAGCCUAGCCUAGGCAGCCUUGAAACCAAGGUUUGGGCCCAUGCCCGGGACAGAGCUGAACUGAGGUCAGAAGGGAGGUGACCACAGCCAGAGCAGACCUGAUAGUAAGUAACUCAGAGCAACGGUAACCUUGAGCACCAAGGCUGGACUGGAAGGGCUCCAUCUGUAUGGACACGACCUGGCCCUCGGAAUCACAGGUAGACCGUGGGAAGCGCCCCCACUGACAUGCCCGGAGUCUGUCAGGAAACAGAGGGUAACAGUGUGCUCUCAUAGCUGUGUGUUCCUGUCACCACAUCUGACCCCACUGAGCAGCAGCACCUGUGUGACUGACAGGAUGAGCAUCUGAUGGAGGAUGAGCCUGAGUUCUGCUUUGAACUGUGGGUGUUUUUCUUGUUCUUUGAAUCAGCAGCCGCAUCCAGCUUCAUAUUUCUACUUUUUAAAGUAACUUAAUAAAGACCUUGGCAUUUGUGUUCCCAGCUUCAAGUUCACAGAAGUGUUUGAGGUCAUUGUUUGUUCCCUCAGUAGAAAAAUAAACCCU